This 500-nucleotide ribosomal RNA is filed under the name uncultured bacterium. RNAcentral's name for it is "bacterial SSU rRNA". It matches the Rfam family "Bacterial small subunit ribosomal RNA", at positions 29 to 521 of the family's 1533-position model. The record is from RNAcentral.
AACGAACGCUGGCGGCGCGCCUAAUACAUGCAAGUCGAGCGAGAAGGUGUAGCAAUACACUUGUAAAGCGGCGAACGGGUGAGGAAUGCAUGGGUAACCUACCCUCGAGUGGGGAAUAACUAGCCGAAAGGUUAGCUAAUACCGCAUACGUUUCCGGAACUUCGGUUUCGGAAAGAAAGCAAUACCGUGGGUAUUGCGCUCCUGGAUGGGCUCAUGUCCUAUCAGCUUGUUGGUGAGGUAACGGCUCACCAAGGCUUCGACGGGUAGCUGGUCUGAGAGGACGAUCAGCCACACUGGCACUGCGACACGGGCCAGACUCCUACGGGAGGCAGCAGUAAGGAAUAUUGCGCAAUGGACGAAAGUCUGACGCAGCGACGCCGCGUGGGGGGAUGAAGGUCUUCGGAUUGUAAACCCCUUUCGGGAGGGAAGAUGGAGUGGGUAACCACUUGGACGGUACCUCCAGAAGCAGCCACGGCUAACUUCGUGCCAGCAGCCGCGGU